GGAAGGAUCAUUACUGAAUUGUCAAACGGGUUGUUGCUGGUCCUCAAAUGGGGACAUGUGCACGCUCUGUUUACACAUCCACUCACACCUGUGCACCCUCUGUAGUUCUGCGGUAUGGGGGACCCCGUCUUCCUUCUGUGGUUCUAUGUCUUUACACACACACUGUAAUAAAGUCUUAUGGAAUGUAUGCCGCGUCUAACGCAAUACAAUACAACUUUCAGCAACGGAUCUCUUGGCUCUCGCAUCGAUGAAGAACGCAGCGAAAUGCGAUAAGUAAUGUGAAUUGCAGAAUUCAGUGAAUCAUCGAAUCUUUGAACGCACCUUGCGCCCCUUGGCUAUUCCGAGGGGCAUGCCUGUUUGAGUAUCAUGAACACCUCAACUCUCAUGGUUUGCCAUGACGAGCUUGGACCUUGGGGGUUUUGCUGGCCUGUGGUCGGCUCCUCUCAAAUGAAUCAGCCUCCCAGUGUUUGGUGGCGUCACGAGUGUGAUAACUAUCUACGCUCGCGGUUGUCCACCAGGUAACCUUUGGUGACAAAGGUUCGCUGGAGCUCAUAGAUGUCUCUCCUCAGCGAGGACAGCUUUUUAACGUUCGAUCUCAAAUCAGG
This 605-nucleotide small RNA is filed under the name uncultured fungus. RNAcentral's name for it is "eukaryotic LSU rRNA". The stretch from base 213 to 367 matches the Rfam family "5.8S ribosomal RNA". Lineage: Eukaryota; Fungi. The record is from RNAcentral.